GCUCGUGUAGCUCAGUUGGGAGAACACAAGACUGAAGAUCUUGGGGUCCUUGGUUUGAUCCCGGGCGCGAGCA
Molecule: transfer RNA, 73 nt
Filed under: Dunaliella salina
Lineage: Eukaryota; Viridiplantae; Chlorophyta; Chlorophyceae; Chlamydomonadales; Dunaliellaceae
Description: tRNA-Phe
Rfam family: tRNA
About the family: Transfer RNA (tRNA) molecules are approximately 80 nucleotides in length. Their secondary structure includes four short double-helical elements and three loops (D, anti-codon, and T loops).
Source: RNAcentral